GAUGAAGAAUGCAGCGAAAUGCGAUAAGUAAUGUGAAUUGCAGAAUUCAGUGAAUCAUCGAAUCUUUGAACGCACCUUGCGCUCCUUGGCAUUCCGAGGAGCAUGCCUGUUUGAGUGUCAUUAAAUUCUCAAGACCUGUCUGCUUUUUUGAUAGGUAUUGGAUUUUGGGGGUUGCAGGCUGUUUCAAAUAAAUAGCCUUGCUCUCCUUGAAUGUAUUAGUGGAGAAAAGCCAUUGAACUCCAUUGGUGUGAUAAAACCUAUCAAUGCCAGGAGCAAUAUCACUACUUCUCUCUGCUGUCUAACUGUGACUGUCUGUAUUAAUUAGUAUGGAUGGGGACAACUUGACCAACUUGACCUCAAAUCAGGUAGGACUACCCGCUGAACUUAAGCAUAUCAAUAAGCGGAGGA
RNAcentral lists this unclassified non-coding RNA (408 nucleotides) under soil metagenome. Its description in RNAcentral is "partial contains 5.8S ribosomal RNA, internal transcribed spacer 2, and large subunit ribosomal RNA". The stretch from base 1 to 120 matches the Rfam family "5.8S ribosomal RNA", at positions 35 to 154 of the family's 154-position model. The record is from RNAcentral.